CUCUUUCACAGGGGACUGGAUGGGGCCGUAACACAUCGAACAGCUGUACCUCCUCUGAAAAGCCAUUUCAGGUGAACCAAAGCAUUCUGCCCCUACGAGGAAGAAAGGGAGGCAGUGAGGAGAGAAUCAGGCCCAAAGAGCUGGGCCCAAGUGACAUUUAUAAAUAGGAACAUGGAAACUCACGGAAGAAGCCAAGCAAGACAUUUUUUUCCCUCUACAUGUGUCAGCACUUCCCAGAUGUGAUGAUGGUAUUUGAAAGAGCAUGAUCUGGAAAUCCUGAGCCGUGCUGCCACAAGAAAAUGGAUGCACAGAGGACAAGGCCAGGCAGCGCAGGUCUUCAUUACACUGAGACUUUGCCUGAGUCCCAUGGUGCCCCAGUGCCCUGGCCUGGGCACAUCAGCACUGCCUUCUGUCCAGGCCCCAUGAGUCUCAGAUGGUGGACCCUGGUGACGGAAGGCUGGGUAGAUGCCAUGGACCUUUCCAUAGGUCAUAGCCACAGCUGAGCACUUGGUGUCUUACUACUCAGUGGAGAGGAGAAGUGUGCUGAAGGGUGGUAAGAGAGUGUGUCCAGGGGCCCAGACCAGAGUGGGCCAUGCCUCAUCUAGAGAGCAAGCAUCUUCCAGAAAGGAGAGCCCUUGGGUCCUUUUACAGAAGCAAUCAGAAAAACAUCGGGAAUCUCCCAGAAGACUGAAUGUAAGAGGACGAAGGGUCCGGGCACAGUGGCUCAUUCCUGUAAUCCCAGAACUUUGGGAGACUGAGGUGAGUGGAUCACUUGAGGUCAGGAGUUCGAGACCAGCCUGAACAACAUGGUGAAACCCCAUCUCUACUAAAAAUACAAUAUUAGCUGGGCAUAGUGGCGCAUGCCUGUAAUCCCAGCUACUCAGGAGGCUGAGGCAGGAGAAUCGCUUGAACCCAGGAGGAGGAGGUUGCAGUGAGCCGAGAUUGCAUCACCGCAUUCCAGCCUGGGCAACAAAGCAAGACUUCAUCACACACACACACACACACACACACACACACACACACACACAAACGAAACAACAACAACAACAAAACCAAAAAAAAAGAAAAAGAAAAGUCAGGUCUGGGGAGCUGAAGUGGCUGACAGAGGAGGAGGAGAAUUAUCUGCAGUGCUUCCCAAAUUCAGGACACUCACCCAGUGCAUCUCAAAGCCUGAGUCCUCAUAUCUCUUCUGGGGAAAGGAGAGAAAGAAUUGCUGGUGGAUUCUGCUGUGUUUUGCCUUGAGGUCAUUAUGGGCAAAAUUUCACACCUAUAAGGCCCAUUGCUGAGGAGGGAGUGGACCUCUGUGAUUCCUCUUGAGCAAAGGAAUAAACAUCCUAAGUUUGUGAGUAAAGCGUCCAUCACAUUCUCUGGAGCCAUCACUGCUGUUUGGAGAGGUGGGAGUUGAGAGAGGCCAUUACUGGGCAGAACCUGAGUUUUCACUUGAAGAUUCGUCCCUUAUGAAUCCAGCCCCUAGAAAACAGAGCAGCCAGCAGGCCUGUGACAUUUCAGUUUGGCUAUAAAAACUACAGGUUAAUAAUAAAACUCUUUUCUGGUUUUAAAAUUAUAUUCACGUGCAUCAGCUCACAUUUCUGAAAAAGCACUUAGGACAGCACCUGAGGCAACUUAAGCAUCAUAUAAAUGUUGGUUUUGUGGUCAUUCUUGUUUUAUAAUUAUUAUUAUUUGUAUCCUCACCCUGGUAGGCAGACAAGGCCAUAGUCAAUAUUAUAGUCGUUUUAUGGAUAAUAAAAAAUGGGAGAGGAAUUAAGUAACCUAUUUAAAUUCAUAUAAUAAACAAAUGGCAGAGCCAGGACUUGAAGCCAGGUUUUUAGGCUGCACAUCUCAGCUUUAACAAAUGACAGAACACCUGCUCUCACAUGUGGCUUUAUUUGUCACCUAACCACCCUCUUAGGCAGGUAGGCACUGGGGGCAGUGCUCAUGAGCUAGGCUUUUCAGCAAGAACCAGACAUGGAUAUGUAUUGGUUCUGUCACUUACCAGCCCUGUGACCUGGAGCUGGUUUUUUAACCUCUCUGGGCCCCACAAUUUUCACUGGUAGAUGGAGUAACAGUAGUGCUGACAUCCAGGGCUGUGGAUGAGGAUUGGGGAAGAUAUUUUGAUAUGAGUCUAGUGCUCAGCACACAAUGGCAGUGAUUAUAAUCACAAUAUGGUCAUUUUUCAGAUGAGAAAACUAGCUCAGAGAACAAAUGUGAUUUUCUAAAGAUUUGGGUUUCCUUGCUCCUAAUUCCUAGUUCCUGCCACCACUGAAAUCAGGACCGUAGAUGUUGCUCUCAGCAUGACCAUUAGUUUAGACAGCUGUAGGUAAUCAGAGCCAAGCAAUGCCCUCCCAAAUACAACAAUCACACACAGAAAAACAUGGAACCCUUCUGCAGAUGCCUUCCUUCACUAGCCCUAACCUCACUCUAGUGUCAUCUUUAUUUGGUUCAAGCCCUACCCAGUAUUUCUGUCUUCACCUGGAUUUAAAUGCUCCUGUGAUCACACAUAAGCUUUCAUGCAUCUAUGUCUCGUUUCUAUAAUCAUUACAGUGUAAGUGAACAUAUAAUAGCUGCUUCUUCAGACCACACUUCCUCUCGGCAGUGCCUACCACAAUCAUGGUAGGUAUUGACUCUAUGUCUAGUGGCCCCACCUUUCCUCUGUAGCCCAAGCCACAUAUCUUUGUUGCUUCCUUUUACUUCUUUGCUAGUCACAGUUUGUAGUUGCAGACAACAGAGUCCAUUUCCAUUUCUGAAAGAAAGAUUUUUCCUUCUUUUUUCUUCUUCUCUCUCUUUUCUUCUCACUCACAGAAUUAUUCGAAGGGUAGACAUCUGAGCUCUAGACUAAGCUCCCAGGUCCACAUGUAGAUUUGUCCCAUUCACGUCGAUGCAGUUGUCCCUGAGAUGAGAAACCACACAGCUUUUGCCGUCCCCUGUACCAGCAAAAUGGAUGCCCCCUGUCCAGCCUGUGUCCCUGCAUAGGUUACUUCUGGAUGGAAUUCUCAUACUGGUGCAUCUGGCUAGUUGAAUCAGGCACAUUUCUGCCCCCAAGCUGUGAGGGAGGCUGGGAAAUGUAGGUUUUGUUUCUGCUCUGGGAAGGCAAGGGUAACACUGAUGGAAACUAUCCACGAGUUAAUGGAGCAUUUAAAGUAUUUGGGGGACACAGAGCAAAGACAAGGUGUAUAAUCCAUCUUCAGCAUCCACAUGUAAUUGGUAAGCAAAUUUCAGCAGUUCUAAAUAUGAACACUUCUGGGAUUCAUCUACUUCUCUCUACCCCACUGCAGUCCUUUGGCUCAGUGCUUCUCACAUGGACAAUGGCAACAGCUUGUAAGUAGUCUCUCUGGCUCAGUCCCCUUUCUGCCCUAUCUCACGUAUGUUUUGUAGCCAGUGUUACUCCUUUGCUUAAAAUCCUCAAAGCUCCUGGUUGCUUUCAGAAGUGAGUUUAAACUUAUAAUUAUGGCUUUUAAAAUCCUUUGGAAUCUCAGGCCGGGGGUGGUGGCUCACGUCUGUAAUCCCAGCACUUUGGGAGGCUGAAGCGGGUGGAUCACC
RNAcentral lists this long non-coding RNA (3537 nucleotides) under Homo sapiens (human). RNAcentral's name for it is "non-protein coding lnc-TMEM65-1:4". The record is from RNAcentral. Lineage: Eukaryota; Metazoa; Chordata; Mammalia; Primates; Hominidae.